UACAGGGGGGGCAAGCGUUGUCCGGAAUUACUGGGCGUAAAGCGUGCGCAGGCGGCUUUGCAAGACAGAUGUGAAAUCCCCGGGCUUAACCUGGGAACUGCAUUUGUGACUGCAUGGCUGGAGUGCGGCAGAGGGGGAUGGAAUUCCGCGUGUAGCAGUGAAAUGCGUAGAUAUGCGGAGGAACACCGAUGGCGAAGGCAAUCCCCUGGGCCUGCACUGACGCUCAUGCACGAAAGCGUGGGGAGCAAACAGG
Molecule: ribosomal RNA, 253 nt
Filed under: uncultured bacterium
Lineage: Bacteria
Description: partial 16S ribosomal RNA
Rfam family: Bacterial small subunit ribosomal RNA
Source: RNAcentral